UUUUUUUAAUUUAAAGCACUAUUUAAGUGAAAAGAAACUUAUUGCAACAAAUUUCCAUCAAAAUAUAUCACAUUUAAAAUUUUUGCUACAUUGCUCAAAAAUGAGGAAAAUUUUACAUUUUCUCAAACAGGGUAAGGAACUUGGUUCCUCGAAUAACUUCUGGCACAGACAUCUAAGGGCAUGGCUGUCCAAGAAGAAAAUGUAGCCAUUGGUGCCAUCUAUCGACCACAGGUUAAAGUUUGGCGAUCCGUUGGAUACCGACCGAGUUAUAGGCAAAAGUUGGUGCAAAAAUGAGGAAAAUUUUACAUUUUCUCAAACAGGGUAUGGAACUUGGUUCCUGGAAUAACUUCUGGCACAGACAUCUCAGGGCAUGGCUGUCCAAGAAGAAAAUGUAGCCAUUGGUGCCAUCUAUCGACCACAGGUUAAAGAUUGGCGAUUCGUUGGAUACCGACCGAGUUAUAGGCAAAAUUUUGUGCAAAAAUGAGGAAAAUUUUCAUUUUUGUUUUUGAAUUGUUUGAUUUUUUUAUUAUUUUUCACUCUUUUUUUCAUUUCAAGCAUUAUUAGAGUGAAAAGAAACUCAUUGCAACCCAUUGGCAUUAAAAUAAAACAAUUUAAUUUUUUUUGCAAAAUUUCCCAAAAAAAUCGUAAGGGGUAAGCCUUAUGAAAUUUUCGAGUGAAAAAUUUUUUUGAAAUUUUUUUCUGAUUUUUUAUUUUUUUUGAAUUUAAAGCACUAUUUAAGUGAAAAGAAACUUAUUGCAACCAAUUCCCAGCAAAAAAUAUAACAUUUAAAAUUUUUGCUAAAUUGCUCAAAAAUGAGGAAAAUUUUACAUUUUCUCAAACAGGGUAAGGAACUUGGUUCCUCGAAUAACUUCUGGCACAGACAUCUAAGGGCAUGGCUGUCCAAGAAGAAAAUGUAGCCAUUGGUGCCAUCUAUCGACCACAGGUUAAAGUUUGGCGAUCCGUUGGAUACCGACCGAGUUAUAGGCAAAAAUUGGUGCAAAAAUGAGGAAAUUUUUACAUUUUCUCAAACAGGGUAUGGAACUUGGUUCCUGGAAUAACUUCUGGCACAGACAUCUGAGGGCAUGGCUGUCCAAGAAGAAAAUGUAGCCAUUGGUGCCAUCUAUCGACCACAGGUUAAAGAUUGGCGAUUCGUUGGAUACCGACCGAGUUAUAGGCAAAAUUUGGUGCAAAAAUGAGGAAAAUUUUCAUUUUUUUUUUAAUUUUUUGAAUUUUUUAUUAUUUUUCACUCUUUUUUUCAUUUCAAGCAUUAUUAGAGUGAAAAGAAACUCAUUGCAACCCAUUGGCAUUAAAAUAAAACAAUUUAAUUUUUUUUGCAAAAUUUCCCAAAAAAAUCGUAAGGGGUAAGCCUUAUGAAAUUUUCGAGUGAAAAGUUUUUUUGAAAUUUUUUUCUGAUUUUUUAUUCUUUUUUUUAAUUUAAAGCACUAUUUAAGUGAAAAGAAACUUAUUGCAACAAAUUCCCAUCAAAAAAUAUAACAUUUAAAAUUUUUGCUACAUUGCUCAAAAAUGAGGAAAAUUUUACAUUUUCUCAAACAGGGUAUGGAACUUGGUUCCUCGAAUAACUUCUGGCACAGACAUCUAAGAGCAUGGCUGUCCAAGAAGAAAAUGUAGCCAUUAGUGCCAUCUAUCGACCACAGGUUAAAGAUUGGCGAUUCGUUGGAUACCGACCGAGUUAUAGGCAAAAGUUGGUGCAAAAAUGAGGAAAAUUUUACAUUUUCUCAAACAGGGUAUGGAACUUGGUUCCUGGAAUAACUUCUGGCACAGACAUCUGAGGGCAUGGCUGUCCAAGAAGAAAAUGUAGCCAUUGGUGCCAUCUAUCGACCACAGGUUAAAGAUUGGCGAUUCGUUGGAUACCGACCGAGUUAUAGGCAAAAUUUGGUGCCAAAAUGAGGAAAAUUUUCAUUUUUUUUUUUAAUUUUUUGAUUUUUUUACUAUUUUUCACUCUUUUUUUCAUUUCAAGCAUUAUUAGAGUGAAAAGAAACUCAUUGCAACCCAUUGGCAUUAAAAUAAAACAAUUUAAUUUUUUUGCAAAAUUUCCCAAAAAAAUCGUAAGGGGUAAGCCUUAUGAAAUUUUCGAGUGAAAAAUUUUUUUGAAAUUUUUUUCUGAUUUUUUAUUCUUUUUUUAAUUUAAAGCACUAUUUAAGUGAAAAGAAACUUAUUGCAACAAAUUCCCAUCAAAAUAUAUCACAUUUAAAAUUUUUGCUACAUUGCUCAAAAAUGAGGAAAAUUUUACAUUUUCUCAAACAGGGUAAGGAACUUGGUUCCUCGAAUAACUUCUGGCACAGACAUCUAAGAGCAUGGCUGUCCAAGAAGAAAAUGUGGCCAUUGGUGCCAUCUAUCGACCACAGGUUAAAGUUUGGCGAUCCGUUGGAUACCGACCGAGUUAUAGGCAAAAGUUGGUGCAAAAAUGAGGAAAUUUUUACAUUUUCUCAAACAGGGUAUGGAACUUGGUUCCUGGAAUAACUUCUGGCACAGACAUCUGAGGGCAUGGCUGUCCAAGAAGAAAAUGUAGCCAUUGGUGCCAUCUAUCGACCACAGGUUAAAGAUUGGCGAUUCGUUGGAUACCGACCGAGUUAUAGGAACAAUUUUGUGUAAAAAUGAGGAAAAUUUUCAUUUUUUUUUGAAUUUUUUGAUUUUUUUAUUAUUUUUGACUAAUUUUUUCAUUUCAAGCAUUAUUAGAGUGAAAAGAAACUCAUUGCUACCCAUUGGCAUUAAAAUAAAACAAUUUAAUUUUUUUUGCAAAAUUUCCCAAAAAAAUCGUAAGGGGUAAGCCUUAUGAAAUUUUCGAGUGAAAAAUUUUUUUGAAUUUUUUUUCUGAUUUUUUAUUCUUUUUUUAAUUUAAAGCACUAUUUAAGUGAAAAGAAACUUAUUGCAACAAAUUCCCAUCAAAAUAUAUAACAUUUAAAAUUUUUGCUACAUUGCUCAAAAAUGAGGAAAAUUUUACAUUAUCUCAAACAGGGUAAGGAACUUGGUUCCUCGAAUAACUUCUGGCACAGACAUCUGAGGGCAUGGCUGUCCAAGAAGAAAAUGUAGCCAUUGGUGCCAUCUAUCGACCACAGGUUAAAGUUUGGCGAUCCGUUGGAUACCGACCGAGUUAUAGGCAAAAGUUGGUGCAAAAAUGAGGAAAAUUUUACAUUUUCUCAAACAGGGUAUGGAACUUGGUUCCUGGAAUAACUUCUGGCACAGACAUCUAAGGUCAUGGCUGUCCAAGAAGAAAAUGUAGCCAUUGGUGCCAUCUAUCGACCACAGGUUAAAGAUUGGCGAUCCGUUGGAUACCGACCGAGUUAUAGGCAAAAGUUGGUGCAAAAAUGAGGAAAAUUUUACAUUUUCUCAAACAGGGUAUGGAACUUGGUUCCUGGAAUAACUUCUGGCACAGACAUCUAAGGUCAUGGCUGUCCAAGAAGAAAAUGUAGCCAUUGGUGCCAUCUAUCGACCACAGGUUAAAGAUUGGCGAUUCGUUGGAUACCGACCGAGUUAUAGGCAAAAUUUGGUGUAAAAAUGAGGAAAAUUUUCAUUUUUUUUUUAAUUUUUUGAUUUUUUUAUUAUUUUUGACUCAUUUUUUCAUUUCAAGCAUUAUUAGAGUGAAAAGAAACUCAUUGCAACCCAUUGGCAUUAAAAAAUAAAACAAUUUAAUUUUUUUUGCAAAAUUUUCCAAAAAAAUCGUAAGGGGUAAGCCUUAUGAAAUUUUCGAGUGAAAAAUUUUUUGAAAUUUUUUUCUGAUUUUUUAUUCUUUUUUUAACUUAAAGCACUAUUUAAGUGAAAAGAAACUUAUUGCAACAAAUUCCCAUCAAAAUAUAUCACAUUUAAAAUGUUUGCUACAUUGCUCAAAAAUGAGGAAAAUUUUACAUUUUCUCAAACAGGGUAAGGAACUUGGUUCCUCGAAUAACUUCUGGCACAGACAUCUAAGGGCAUGGCUGUCCAAGAAGAAAAUGUAGCCAUUAGUGCCAUCUAUCGACCACAGGUUAAAGAUUGGCGAUUCGUUGGAUACCGACCGAGUUAUAGGCAAAAGUUGGUGCAAAAAUGAGGAAAAUUUUACAUUUUCUCAAACAGGGUAUGGAACUUGGUUCCUGGAAUAACUUCUGGCACAGACAUCUGAAGGCAUGGCUGUCCAAGAAGAAAAUGUAGCCAUUGGUGCCAUCUAUCGACCACAGGUUAAAGAUUGGCGAUUCGUUGGAUACCGACCGAGUUAUAGGCAAAAUUUGGUGCAAAAAUGAGGAAAAUUUUCAUUUUUUUUUUUAAUUUUUUGAUUUUUUUAUUAUUUUUGACUAAUUUUUUCAUUUCAAGCAUUAUUAGAGUGAAAAGAAACUCAUUGCAACCCAUUGGCAUUAAAAUAAAACAAUUUAAUUUUUUUUGCAAAAUUUCCCAAAAAAAUCGUAAGGGGUAAGCCUUAUGAAAUUUUCGAGUGAAAAAUUUUUUUGAAAUUUUUUUCUGAUUUUUUAGUUUUUUUUUAAUUUAAAGCACUAUUUAAGUGAAAAGAAACUUAUUGCAACAAAUUCCCAGCAAAAAAUAUAACAUUUAAAAUUUUUGCUAAAUUGCUCAGAAAUGAGGAAAAUUUUACAUUUUCUCAAACAGGGUAUGGAACUUGGUUCCUCGAAUAACUUCUGGCACAGACAUCUAAGGGCAUGGCUGUCCAAGAAGAAAAUGUAGUCAUUGGUGCCAUCUAUCGACCACAGGUUAAAGAUUGGCGAUUCGUUGGAUACCGACCGAGUUAUAGGCAAAAGUUGGUGCAAAAAUGAGGAAAAUUUUACAUUUUCUCAAACAGGGUAUGGAACUUGGUUCCUGGAAUAACUUCUGGCACAGACAUCUGAAGGCAUGGCUGUCCAAGAAGAAAAUGUAGCCAUUGGUGCCAUCUAUCGACCACAGGUUAAAGAUUGGCGAUUCGUUGGAUACCGACCGAGUUAUAGGCAAAAUUUGGUGCAAAAAUGAGGAAAAUUUUACAUUUUCUCAAACAGGGUAUGGAACUUGGUUCCUGGAAUAACUUCUGGCACAGACAUCUGAGGGCAUGGCUAUCCAAGAAGAAAAUGUAGCCAUUGGUGCCAUCUAUCCACCACAGGUUAAAGAUUGGCGAUUCGUUGGAUACCGACCGAGUUAUAGGCAAAAAUUUGUGCAAAAAUGAGGAAAAUUUUCAUUUUUUUUUUUAAUUUUUUGAUUUUUUUAUUAUUUUUGACUAAUUUUUUCAUUUCAAGCAUUAUUAGAGUGAAAAGAAACUCAUUGCAACCCAUUGGCAUUAAAAUAAAACAAUUUAAUUUUUUUUGCAAAAUUUCCCAAAAAAAUCGUAAGGGGUAAGCCUUAUGAAAUUUUCGAGUGAAAUUUUUUUUUGAAAUUUUUUUCUGAUUUUUUAUUCUUUUUUUAAUUUAAAGCACUAUUUAAGUGAAAAGAAACUUAUUGCAACAAAUUCCCAUCAAAAUAUAUCACAUUUAAAAUUUUUGCUACAUUGCUCAAAAAUGAGGAAAAUUUUACAUUUUCUCAAACAGGGUAAGGAACUUGGUUCCUCGAAUAACUUCUGGCACAGACAUCUAAGGGCAUGGCUGUCCAAGAAGAAAAUGUAGCCAUUGGUGCCAUCUAUCGACCACAGGUUAAAGUUUGGCGAUUCGUUGGAUACCGACCGAAUUAUAGGCAAAAUUUGGUGCAAAAAUGAGGAAAAUUUUACAUUUUCUCAAACAGGGUAUGGAACUUGGUUCCUGGAAUAACUUCUGGCACAGACAUCUAAGGUCAUGGCUGUCCAAGAAGAAAAUGUAGCCAUUGGUGCCAUCUAUCGACCACAGGUUAAAGAUUGGCGAUUCGUUGGAUACCGACCGAGUUAUAGGCAAAAUUUGGUGUAAAAAUGAGGAAAAUUUUCAUUUUUUUAUUUUGAAUUUUUUGAUUUUUUUAUUAUUUUUUGACUAAUUUUUUCAUUUCAAGCAUUAUUAGAGUGAAAAGAAACUCAUUGCAACCCAUUGGCAUUAAAAUAAAACAAUUUAAUUUUUUUUGCAAAAUUUCCCAAAAAAAUCGUAAGGGGUAAGCCUUAUGAAAUUUUCGAGUGAAAAUUUUUUUUGAAAUUUUUUUCUGAUUUUUUAGUUUUUUUUAAUUUAAAGCACUAUUUAAGUGAAAAGAAACUUAUUGCAACAAAUUCCCAGCAAAAAAUAUAACAUUUAAAAUUUUUGCUAAAUUGCUCAGAAAUGAGGAAAAUUUUACAUUUUCUCAAACAGGGUAUGGAACUUGGUUCCUCGAAUAACUUCUGGCACAGACAUCUAAGGGCAUGGCUGUCCAAGAAGAAAAUGUAGUCAUUGGUGCCAUCUAUCGACCACAGGUUAAAGAUUGGCGAUUCGUUGGAUACCGACCGAGUUAUAGGCAAAAGUUGGUGCAAAAAUGAGGAAAAUUUUACAUUUUCUCAAACAGGGUAUGGAACUUGGUUCCUGGAAUAACUUCUGGCACAGACAUCUGAGGGCAUGGCUGUCCAAGAAGAAAAUGUAGCCAUUGGUGCCAUCUAUCGACCACAGGUUAAAGAUUGGCGAUUCGUUGGAUACCGACCGAGUUAUAGGCAAAAUUUUGUGCAAAAAUGAGGAAAAUUUUCAUUUUUUUUUGAAUUUUUUGAUUUUUUUAUUAUUUUUCACUCGUUUUUUCAUUUCAAGCAUUAUUAGAGUGAAAAGAAACUCAUUGCAACCCAUUGGCAUUAAAAUAAAACAAUUUAAUUUUUUUUGCAAAAUUUCCCAAAAAAAUCGUAAGGGGUAAGCCUUAUGAAAUUUUCGAGUGAAAAAUUUUUUUGAAAUUUUUUUCUGAUUUUUUAUUUUUUUUUUAAUUUAAAGCACUGUUUAAGUGAAAAGAAACUUAUUGCAACAAAUUCCCAGCAAAAAAUAUAACAUUUAAAAUUUUUGCUACAUUGCUCAAAAAUGAGGAAAAUUUUACAUUUUCUCAAACAAGGUAUGGAACUUGGUUCCUGGAAUAACUUCUGGCACAGACAUCUGAGGGCAUGGCUGUCCAAGAAGAAAAUGUAGCCAUUGGUGCCAUCUAUCGACCACAGGUUAAAGAUUGGCGAUUCGUUGGAUACCGACCGAGUUAUAGGCAAAAUUUGGUGCAAAAAUGAGGAAAAUUUUCAUUUUUUUUUUUAAUUUUUUGAUUUUUUUAUUAUUUUUCACUCUUUUUUUCAUUUCAAGCAUUAUUAGAGUGAAAAGAAACUCAUUGCAACCCAUUGGCAUUAAAAUAAAACAAUUUAAUUUUUUUUGCAAAAUUUCCCAAAAAAAUCGUAAGGGGUAAGCCUUAUGAAAUUUUCGAGUGAAAAAUUUUUUUGAAAUUUUUUUCUGAUUUUUUAUUCUUUUUUUAAUUUAAAGCACUAUUUAAGUGAAAAGAAACUUAUUGCAACAAAUUCCCAUCAAAAUAUAUCACAUUUAAAAUGUUUGCUACAUUGCUCAAAAAUGAGGAAAAUUUUACAUUCUCUCAAACAGGGUAUGGAACUUGGUUCCUCGAAUAACUUCUGGCACAGACAUCUAAGGGCAUGGCUGUCCAAGAAGAAAAUGCAGCCAUUGGUGCCAUCUAUCGACCACAGGUUAAAGUUUGGCGAUCCGUUGGAUACCGACCGAGUUAUAGGCAAAAGUUGGUGCAAAAAUGAGGAAAAUUUUACAUUUUCUCAAACAGGGUAAGGAACUUGGUUCCUCGAAUAACUUCUGGCACAUACAUCUAAGGGCAUGGCUGUCCAAGAAGAAAAUGUAGCCAUUGGUGUCAUCUAUCGACCACAGGUUAAAGUUUGGCGAUCCGUUGGAUACCGACCGAGUUAUAGGCAAAAGUUGGUGCAAAAAUGAGGAAAAUUUUACAUUUUCUCAAACAGGGUAUGGAACUUGGUUCCUGGAAUAACUUCUGGCACAGACAUCUGAGGGCAUGGCUGUGCAAGAAGAAAAUGUAGCCAUUGAUGCCAUCUAUCGACCACAGGUUAAAGAUUGGAGAUGCGUUAGAUACCGACCGAGUUAUAGGGAAAACUUGGUGCAAAAAUGAGCCUUAGUAGAUUGACAAAUUUUUAGAUUUUUUCAAUUUUUUUAUUAUUUUUUAUCUUUUUGUAAAUUGAAGCAUUGUUUGAGUGAAAAGAAACAUAUUGCAACAAUUUCGCAUUAAAAUAAAACAAUUUUUUAAAUUUUGAUAAAUUGCUCAAAAAAAUGGCAA
Molecule: long non-coding RNA, 8148 nt
Organism: Anopheles funestus (African malaria mosquito)
Lineage: Eukaryota; Metazoa; Arthropoda; Insecta; Diptera; Culicidae
Exons: 3
Source: RefSeq, a predicted model, not a curated record